GGUUGUGGCUCAGUGUUAGAGUGCUUGCCCAGCAUGUGUGAGGUCCUGGGUUCAAUCCUCAGCACCA
This 67-nucleotide transfer RNA is filed under the name Marmota monax (woodchuck). RNAcentral describes it as "tRNA.Ala". Lineage: Eukaryota; Metazoa; Chordata; Mammalia; Rodentia; Sciuridae. The record is from RNAcentral.